Molecule: ribosomal RNA, 372 nt
Filed under: uncultured bacterium
Lineage: Bacteria
Description: bacterial SSU rRNA
Rfam family: Bacterial small subunit ribosomal RNA
Source: RNAcentral
AUUGAACACUGGCGGCAUGCCUUACACAUGCAAGUCGAACGGCAGCACGGGAGCAAUCCUGGUGGCGAGUGGCGAACGGGUGAGUAAUACAUCGGAACGUGCCCAGUAGUGGGGGAUAACCCGGCGAAAGCCGGACUAAUACCGCAUACGACCUACGGGUGAAAGCAGGGGAUCGCAAGACCUUGCGCUAUUGGAGCGGCCGAUGUCAGAUUAGCUUGNGGUGGGGUAAAGCCUACCAAGGCAACGAUCUGUAGCUGGUCUGAGAGGACGACCAGCCACACUGGGACUGAGACACGGCCCAGACUCCUACGGGAGGCAGCAGUGGGGAAUUUUGGACAAUGGGCGCAAGCCUGAUCCAGCCAUGCCGCGUGC